Molecule: unclassified non-coding RNA, 441 nt
Filed under: uncultured Tomentella
Lineage: Eukaryota; Fungi; Basidiomycota; Agaricomycetes; Thelephorales; Thelephoraceae
Description: sequence contains ITS2
Rfam family: 5.8S ribosomal RNA (bases 1-154)
Source: RNAcentral
AACUUUCAACAAUGGAUCUCUUGGCUCUCGCAUCGAUGAAGAAAGCAGAGACAUGCGAUAAGUAAUGUGAAUUGCAGAAUUCAGUGAAUCAUCGAAUCUUUGAAUGCACCUUGCGCCCUUUGGCAUUCCGAAGGGCAUGCCUGUUUGAGUAUCAUGAACACCUCAACUCUUCAUGGUUUUCCAUCAUGACCUUGGACUUUGGGGGUCUUGCUGGCCUGCGGUCGGCUCCUCUCAAAUGAAUCAGCUUGCAAGUGUUUGGUGGGCAUCACAGGUGUGAUAACUAUCUACGCUUGUGGUUUUCCACCAGGUAACCUUCAGCAGUGGAGGUUCACUGGAGCUCACAGACGUCUCUCCUCAGUGAGGACGACAGCCCUUUGAAUGUUUGAUCUCAAAUCAGGUAGGACUACCCGCUGAACUUAAGCAUAUCAAUAAGCGGAGGCU